CCUACGGGAGGCAGCAGUGGGGAAUUUUGGACAAUGGGCGAAAGCCUGAUCCAGCCAUGCCGCGUGCGGGAAGAAGGCCCUCGGGUUGUAAACCGCUUUUGUCAGGGAAGAAAUCCUUUGAGUUAAUACCUCGGAGGGAUGACGGUACCUGAAGAAUAAGCACCGGCUAACUACGUGCCAGCAGCCGCGGUAAUACGUAGGGUGCGAGCGUUAAUCGGAAUUACUGGGCGUAAAGCGUGCGCAGGCGGUCUUGCAAGACAGGUGUGAAAUCCCCGGGCUCAACCUGGGAACUGCACUUGUGACUGCAAGGCUGGAGUACGGCAGAGGGGGAUGGAAUUCCGCGUGUAGCAGUGAAAUGCGUAGAUAUGCGGAGGAACACCGAUGGCGAAGGCAAUCCCCUGGGCCUGUACUGACGCUCAUGCACGAAAGCGUGGGGAGCAAACAGGAUUAGAUACCCUGGUAGUCCACGCCCUAAACGAUGUCAACUGGUUGUUGGACGGCUUGCUGUUCAGUAACGAAGCUAACGCGUGAAGUUGACCGCCUGGGGGAGGUACGGCCGCGAGUAGAACGUACGAAGAGUAGUAGCGNGAGAGAGCGACGACGACGACGACGGAGGAGGAGG
This 622-nucleotide ribosomal RNA is filed under the name uncultured bacterium. Its description in RNAcentral is "bacterial SSU rRNA". The stretch from base 1 to 542 matches the Rfam family "Bacterial small subunit ribosomal RNA", at positions 338 to 873 of the family's 1533-position model. The record is from RNAcentral.